Molecule: ribosomal RNA, 440 nt
Filed under: uncultured bacterium
Lineage: Bacteria
Description: partial 16S ribosomal RNA
Rfam family: Bacterial small subunit ribosomal RNA
Source: RNAcentral
CCUACGGGUGGCAGCAGUGGGGAAUAUUGCUCAAUGGGCGAAAGCCUGAAGCAGCAACGCCGCGUGAGGGAUGAAGGUCUUCGGAUUGUAAACUCCUUUUGUCAGAGAAGAAAAUGACGGUAGCUAACCAAUAAGCAGCGGCCAACUCCGGAACAGCAGCCGCGGGAACACGAGGGGUGCACACGUUACGCGGAAUCACUGGGCGUAAAGAGGGUGUAGGCGGGAUGGCAAGUCAGGUGUGUAAUCCGAGGGCUUAACCAUAGAACUGCAUUUGAAACUGUUAUUCUGGAGUAUGUGAGAGGUAGGUGGAAUGCUUGGUGUAGGGGUGAAAUCCGUAGAUAUCAAGAGGAACACUCAUUGCGAAGGCGACCUGCUGGAACAUAACUGACGCUGAUGCGCGAAAGCGUGGGGAGCAAACAGGAUUAGAUACCCGGGUAGUC